Nicotiana tabacum (common tobacco) is the source of this 348-nucleotide long non-coding RNA. RefSeq lists it as uncharacterized. Lineage: Eukaryota; Viridiplantae; Streptophyta; Magnoliopsida; Solanales; Solanaceae. The record is from RefSeq and is a predicted model, not a curated record.
UUUCAUAAAGUGUAACGUAUAUUCCUAAUAUGGUAUUCCUCAAAUUAUGUUCGAUUAUCACUAUUCUUCUCGUGGCAAUCACUAUUAAUAUGUCAUGGAUCUCAAAGACACAAGUCAUAGCCGCACUCGAAGUUGAUCAUGAUCUCUCAGGACUCAAGAGGAGACUUCUUCCACAACUUAAUACUUGUUGGAGAAGUUGUACUUCCAAUAGUGAUUGCAGCGAUUGUUGGGUUUGUUGUACUUGUCAAUUGAGAGAUGAUUUACCUUUUGUGAAUAAUUGUAUAAUUGUAGCGUAAAAUAGUGGAUGUCUUUGUGUUCUUCGGCAAUAAAAUCCGCUACAAUUCUCUA